Molecule: long non-coding RNA, 267 nt
Filed under: Vitis vinifera (wine grape)
Lineage: Eukaryota; Viridiplantae; Streptophyta; Magnoliopsida; Vitales; Vitaceae
Description: long non-coding RNA (VVIN_LNC004645)
Source: RNAcentral
GGGAUUUUGACAGACCUAUCCGCUAAAGAGAGGGUCAUGGUUGUGGGCUUUAAUCCUCCUAGUCCCAGUUGCUUAUACACAGAGUAUGGGAGCAAAUUCACACUUGCUCCCAAAUCUAAUAAAGCUUUUUCCACAUGUGUCCCUCCAAUGUUGACUGAUAUGGUGGGACAUCCCGGAUCUUUAUACUUAACUGGGGACUUACUCUGAAUGAUAGCACUCACUUGCUCAGUGAGGAAUGCAUUCUUUGUCACCUGUAAACCUCUCUUG